GCGCACUGCCCGGCAGGCUGGUAAAGUGAAUGGUGAGGACAGAAGAGUUUGAUGACACAGACCGCUGAAUUUCUUUGUUUGGAGUACAAGUUAUGAACCCUUUAUGGAGCAUGUCUACAACCGCUGUACGCAAACGAUCUGAUGGUGAAGAGAAGACAUUGACAGGGGACGUGAAAACCAGUCCUCCACAAACUGCGCCAAAGAAACAGCUGCCUUCUAUUCCCAAAAAUGCUUUGCCCAUAACUAAGCCUAUGUCUCCUGCCCCAGCAGCAUAGUCAACAAAUGGCACGCAUGCUUCAUACGGACCCUUCUACCUGGAAUACUCUCUUCUUGCAGAAUUUACCUUGGUUGUGAAGCAGAAAUUACCAGGCGUCUAUGUGCAGCCCUCUUACCGCUCUGCAUUAAUGUGGUUUGGAGUGAUAUUUAUACGGCAUGGACUUUAUCAAGAUGGUGUGUUUAAGUUUACAGUUUACAUCCCUGAUAACUACCCAGACGGCGACUGUCCACGCUUGGUGUUUGAUAUUCCCGUCUUUCACCCGGUAGUUGAUCCCACGUCAGGUGAACUGGAUGUGAAGAGAGCAUUUCCAAAGUGGAGGCGGAACCAUAAUCAUAUUUGGCAAGUAUUAAUGUAUGCAAGGAGAGUUUUCUACAAGAUUGAUACAGCAAGCCCCCUAAACCCAGAGGCUGCAGUACUGUAUGAAAAAGACAUUCAGCUUUUUAAAAGCAAAGUGGUUGACAGUGUUAAGGCAUGCACUGCUCGUUUGUUUGACCAACCUAAAAUAGAAGACCCCUAUGCAAAUAGCUUUUCUCCAUGGAAUCCUUCUGUACAUGACGAAGCCAGAGAGAAGAUGCUGACUCAGAAAAAGCCUGAAGAACGGCACAAUAAAAGUGUUCAUGUUGCUGGCCUGUCAUGGGUAAAGCCUGGCUCAGUACAACCUUUCAGUAAAGAAGAGAAAACAGUAGCAAAUUAAGAGAUGGUGAAUCUGGUGCACCGUGCACUUUCCUGCUGGACUCUGGCCUAGUUAAAGUUGACCAAUGGCAAAGGACUGCCGGAAGAGUAAAACUGUGUGAAUAAUGACUGAUGAUCAGUGUUUUCCAUGUAUGCAUAGGUUCUAACAGCAGGUUUUGGAAACCUCUUUCUAAGUAAUACAUUACUUCUGUCAGAAGUGUCUUAGGGUGGUUAUCUAGUUCAGUACUCCAAAUUAUUGGGGACCUUGAGGCUUAAGUAUUUUUCUGAAUAUAAUGCUAAAGGUAAGUGGCAGUCAUUUAAACUAAUAGAGCAGACAGACUUCAACACUAUUUAAUAGUUUUUAAA
Microcebus murinus (gray mouse lemur) is the source of this 1315-nucleotide non-coding RNA. NCBI's taxonomy places the organism in Eukaryota, Metazoa, Chordata, Mammalia, Primates, Cheirogaleidae. The record is from RefSeq and is a predicted model, not a curated record.